Molecule: ribosomal RNA, 1824 nt
Filed under: Escherichia coli
Lineage: Bacteria; Pseudomonadati; Pseudomonadota; Gammaproteobacteria; Enterobacterales; Enterobacteriaceae
Description: partial 23S ribosomal RNA
Rfam family: Bacterial large subunit ribosomal RNA
Source: RNAcentral
UGUGAGCUCGAUGAGUAGGGCGGGACACGUGGUAUCCUGUCUGAAUAUGGGGGGACCAUCCUCCAAGGCUAAAUACUCCUGACUGACCGAUAGUGAACCAGUACCGUGAGGGAAAGGCGAAAAGAACCCCGGCGAGGGGAGUGAAAAAGAACCUGAAACCGUGUACGUACAAGCAGUGGGAGCACGCUUAGGCGUGUGACUGCGUACCUUUUGUAUAAUGGGUCAGCGACUUAUAUUCUGUAGCAAGGUUAACCGAAUAGGGGAGCCGAAGGGAAACCGAGUCUUAACUGGGCGUUAAGUUGCAGGGUAUAGACCCGAAACCCGGUGAUCUAGCCAUGGGCAGGUUGAAGGUUGGGUAACACUAACUGGAGGACCGAACCGACUAAUGUUGAAAAAUUAGCGGAUGACUUGUGGCUGGGGGUGAAAGGCCAAUCAAACCGGGAGAUAGCUGGUUCUCCCCGAAAGCUAUUUAGGUAGCGCCUCGUGAAUUCAUCUCCGGGGGUAGAGCACUGUUUCGGCAAGGGGGUCAUCCCGACUUACCAACCCGAUGCAAACUGCGAAUACCGGAGAAUGUUAUCACGGGAGACACACGGCGGGUGCUAACGUCCGUCGUGAAGAGGGAAACAACCCAGACCGCCAGCUAAGGUCCCAAAGUCAUGGUUAAGUGGGAAACGAUGUGGGAAGGCCCAGACAGCCAGGAUGUUGGCUUAGAAGCAGCCAUCAUUUAAAGAAAGCGUAAUAGCUCACUGGUCGAGUCGGCCUGCGCGGAAGAUGUAACGGGGCUAAACCAUGCACCGAAGCUGCGGCAGCGACGCUUAUGCGUUGUUGGGUAGGGGAGCGUUCUGUAAGCCUGUGAAGGUGUGCUGUGAGGCAUGCUGGAGGUAUCAGAAGUGCGAAUGCUGACAUAAGUAACGAUAAAGCGGGUGAAAAGCCCGCUCGCCGGAAGACCAAGGGUUCCUGUCCAACGUUAAUCGGGGCAGGGUGAGUCGACCCCUAAGGCGAGGCCGAAAGGCGUAGUCGAUGGGAAACAGGUUAAUAUUCCUGUACUUGGUGUUACUGCGAAGGGGGGACGGAGAAGGCUAUGUUGGCCGGGCGACGGUUGUCCCGGUUUAAGCGUGUAGGCUGGUUUUCCAGGCAAAUCCGGAAAAUCAAGGCUGAGGCGUGAUGACGAGGCACUACGGUGCUGAAGCAACAAAUGCCCUGCUUCCAGGAAAAGCCUCUAAGCAUCAGGUAACAUCAAAUCGUACCCCAAACCGACACAGGUGGUCAGGUAGAGAAUACCAAGGCGCUUGAGAGAACUCGGGUGAAGGAACUAGGCAAAAUGGUGCCGUAACUUCGGGAGAAGGCACGCUGAUAUGUAGGUGAAGUCCCUUGCGGAUGGAGCUGAAAUCAGUCGAAGAUACCAGCUGGCUGCAACUGUUUAUUAAAAACACAGCACUGUGCAAACACGAAAGUGGACGUAUACGGUGUGACGCCUGCCCGGUGCCGGAAGGUUAAUUGAUGGGGUCAGCGCAAGCGAAGCUCUUGAUCGAAGCCCCGGUAAACGGCGGCCGUAACUAUAACGGUCCUAAGGUAGCGAAAUUCCUUGUCGGGUAAGUUCCGACCUGCACGAAUGGCGUAAUGAUGGCCAGGCUGUCUCCACCCGAGACUCAGUGAAAUUGAACUCGCUGUGAAGAUGCAGUGUACCCGCGGCAAGACGGAAAGACCCCGUGAACCUUUACUAUAGCUUGACACUGAACAUUGAGCCUUGAUGUGUAGGAUAGGUGGGAGGCUUUGAAGUGUGGACGCCAGUCUGCAUGGAGCCGACCUUGAAAUACCACCCUU